UUCACUUUAUAAAUGUCUAACCUAACCUAAAUACCAAAUCUAAUCUAAAAUACAUUUAAAAGCAUUGAAUAUAUCUUUGAGAAAAUACUUACAUAUCAAAAAUAUUUCAUCGUUUUAAAAUAAUACCAUCAAAUUCGAUGAUUGAAUAUUAUUUUUUCAAAUAUCAACAAAUUUAUCAUCAAAUCUCACCAAAAUCUCAAAUGCUGCAUCCGAAUAAAGAACUUGAGUUAUUCCACACUGGUCAAUUAACAUUCAGAUGUAUAUCAAGCAUGACUACGUGCGCACGAAUCACGUGUUGAAGUGCAUGCACGUCGAAUGUGUCCCUGUUCAUAGCUCGUCUAAAUUGUGCCGCAUAUCCAAAUCAACUUCAUUUUGCAUGCGACCAACGAAGCAUCGUUACCAUCGCGUCUCGUGCGAUUAUCGAGAGCGACUUCGAUUGCUACGCGCAUGCGCAUUGCGAAUCGUUCCAUUUUCGUCCAGUUCCCACGUAUGAAGCGUGUAGAGUGUGAUCACGAAAGAGGUUAGAAUCUUAGAAUGUGUUUAAUAAAUAUGGAAAGAUAUAUUAUUCAAAUUUAAAGUGAUUAUUGAGUGCUAAAUUUAAAAAAAGAAAACAAUUAAAUGGGAUAGCAUAGAGUUAACUUGAGUAGAUAUUCAAUUAGGAAGUCUAUUAAAGACAAAUUUUUUCGAGUAAAUUUCGUCAACCAUUAACCUAAGAAUAUAAGCAAACUUUCGAAACAUUGAAUACGCGAUAAUCCUUUUUUGACCCAUUUUCACUUAUAAUAUUAAUUAAAAGCAUGGAGCUACUUUUUUGUUUAUGUAAUAUUCUUUCUCAUAUUAUCUAUAAUAUUCUUUUAUUUACCUUUUUCUCGAAUAACCACUUUCUACCUAAUUCCUAACCUAAUUCUGUACAUUAUUUACAUUGCCACACAACGAUGUAUUAGGCAAUUCCACGGUCGAUACUGGGUCUAGGUCCUUACCAGCUGAGGAAUACUAAUUCAUGACGUCUAAGUCUGUUGAAAAAUUAUGCGUAACUCUCGUUCUUGAGUUUCGCAACGCGGCCGUGAUUACGACACACGGAACGAACUUUACCCACGGCACUAAUUCACCACUCGAUCGAUCCUCUGUGGAACGCGAGGAAACGAUCGUCGAUGCGCAACUAGGAAUCUCGGCUCUAAUGGAAAAAAAAAAAAAAAAAAAAAAAAAAAGAAAAGAAAAAAAGGAAAUGGGGAAAAAACGGAUAACAACGUGGUUUUCGCGAAACCUUAGUCAAGCAUCGCCGGUUCUACUGCAGUUAGUAAUUAGUGUGUGGCGCAAGACGAAUUGAAGGAAAA
Molecule: long non-coding RNA, 1331 nt
Organism: Apis mellifera (honey bee)
Lineage: Eukaryota; Metazoa; Arthropoda; Insecta; Hymenoptera; Apidae
Exons: 2
Source: RefSeq, a predicted model, not a curated record